RNAcentral lists this ribosomal RNA (254 nucleotides) under uncultured bacterium. RNAcentral's name for it is "partial 16S ribosomal RNA". It matches the Rfam family "Bacterial small subunit ribosomal RNA", at positions 524 to 777 of the family's 1533-position model. The record is from RNAcentral.
GACGAACCACACAAACGUUAUUCGGAAUUACUGGGCUUAAAGGGUGCGUAGGCUGCGCAGAAAGUUGGGUGUGAAAUCCCUCGGCUCAACCGAGGAACUGCGCCCAAAACUACUGUGCUCGAGGAAGACAGAGGUGAGCGGAACUUAGGGUGGAGCGGUGAAAUGCGUUGAUAUCCUAAGGAACACCCGUGGCGAAAGCGGCUCACUGGGUCUUUUCUGACGCUGAGGCACGAAAGCUAGGGUAGCGAACGGGG